AGGGAAACACAGUCCAUUCUUCCAGUUCUUACAGUGGAAAGAGAGUUCUUGGAAUGAUAGGUGCUGUAUCCAGAACAUGACCACAGGGGGAUGCCUGGAGGACGAGAGGAAGUGCGCAGACGAUGACAGAACUGGAGAAAGUGGGUCCCAGACAGCAUGGCUUCAGCUCUCUGAAGAUUAGUGGAAGAUGAUGGCUGAUCUGGG
This 204-nucleotide long non-coding RNA is filed under the name Mustela putorius furo (domestic ferret). RNAcentral describes it as "lncRNA (ENSMPUG00000029720.1)". Lineage: Eukaryota; Metazoa; Chordata; Mammalia; Carnivora; Mustelidae. The record is from RNAcentral.